Molecule: ribosomal RNA, 478 nt
Filed under: Fusarium oxysporum
Lineage: Eukaryota; Fungi; Ascomycota; Sordariomycetes; Hypocreales; Nectriaceae
Description: eukaryotic LSU rRNA
Rfam family: 5.8S ribosomal RNA (bases 168-321)
Source: RNAcentral
ACCUGCGGAGGGAUCAUUACCGAGUUUACAACUCCCAAACCCCUGUGAACAUACCACUUGUUGCCUCGGCGGAUCAGCCCGCUCCCGGUAAAACGGGACGGCCCGCCAGAGGACCCCUAAACUCUGUUUCUAUAUGUAACUUCUGAGUAAAACCAUAAAUAAAUCAAAACUUUCAACAACGGAUCUCUUGGUUCUGGCAUCGAUGAAGAACGCAGCAAAAUGCGAUAAGUAAUGUGAAUUGCAGAAUUCAGUGAAUCAUCGAAUCUUUGAACGCACAUUGCGCCCGCCAGUAUUCUGGCGGGCAUGCCUGUUCGAGCGUCAUUUCAACCCUCAAGCACAGCUUGGUGUUGGGACUCGCGUUAAUUCGCGUUCCUCAAAUUGAUUGGCGGUCACGUCGAGCUUCCAUAGCGUAGUAGUAAAACCCUCGUUACUGGUAAUCGUCGCGGCCACGCCGUUAAACCCCAACUUCUGAAUGUGA